RNAcentral lists this transfer RNA (76 nucleotides) under Stagnimonas sp. Its description in RNAcentral is "tRNA-Gln". It matches the Rfam family "tRNA". Rfam says of the family: Transfer RNA (tRNA) molecules are approximately 80 nucleotides in length. Their secondary structure includes four short double-helical elements and three loops (D, anti-codon, and T loops). Further hydrogen bonds mediate the characteristic L-shaped molecular structure. tRNAs have two regions of fundamental functional importance: the anti-codon, which is responsible for specific mRNA codon recognition, and the 3' end, to which the tRNAs corresponding amino acid is attached (by aminoacyl-tRNA synthetases). tRNAs cope with the degeneracy of the genetic code in two manners: having more than one tRNA (with a specific anti-codon) for a particular amino acid; and 'wobble' base-pairing, i.e. permitting non-standard base-pairing at the 3rd anti-codon position. The record is from RNAcentral. Lineage: Bacteria; Pseudomonadati; Pseudomonadota; Gammaproteobacteria; Nevskiales; Nevskiaceae.
AGGGGGUUAGCCAAGUUGGUAAGGCACGAGACUUUGACUCUCGCAUGCGCAGGUUCGAGCCCUGCACCCUCUGCCA